RNAcentral lists this long non-coding RNA (508 nucleotides) under Malus domestica (apple). Its description in RNAcentral is "long non-coding RNA (MDOM_LNC007564)". The record is from RNAcentral. Lineage: Eukaryota; Viridiplantae; Streptophyta; Magnoliopsida; Rosales; Rosaceae.
CCCACACUUAUUCUUUUGCCAAACACCUUCAAAGUACUUCACAAACAUUUCUCAUAAGACAAUCUCACAUUGCUCACUAGCUUGCUUGGAAAGGGUAAGGAAGAAUGUUUCAGGUAUAAGGGUAGACAUAUCUGGUGGUAAGAAAUAAAAGGCUCAACAUACACGGCUCAAAUUGGCAAUCUAAUGAUAUCAUUUUUAUUUGGGAAACAUGGUUAUUUGGGCCAUAGUGGUAAACCUAAUGCCUCUAUCAUUUCCAAGUUCAUGCAAUCAAUGACAAACAUUUCGAAAGAUCGUUACGCAAGUUCUAGAGAUGUAUCUCACAUAAGUUCAUCACACAUGAAAGAAUAAGAGUGUAUGAAAAAUGCACACACUUUCAAUAGGCUCAAAAACUCACAUAGGAUGUAUAUGGUCUCUAAAUUCACAUAUGACGCUUUAAUUCAUACUUUAGUUUCACAUUAACAAGGCUAUGUGCAUUUGGUUUUUCAAAGAUGGUCAAACAUGUACAAAA